Molecule: ribosomal RNA, 245 nt
Filed under: uncultured bacterium
Lineage: Bacteria
Description: partial small subunit ribosomal RNA
Rfam family: Bacterial small subunit ribosomal RNA
Source: RNAcentral
AGAAUCAACGCUGGCGGCGUGCCUAACACAUGCAAGUCGAACGAGAAAGUGGAGCAAUCCAUGAGUAAAGUGGCGAACGGGUGAGUAACACGUGACUAACCUACCCUUGAGUGGGGGAUAACCUAGGGAAACCUGGGCUAAUACCGCAUAAUAUCGAGAGAUCAAAGGAGCAAUUCGCUUAAGGAGGGGGUCGCGGCUGAUUAGCUAGUUGGUGAGGUAAUGGCUCACCAAGGCUAUGAUCAGUA